This 3875-nucleotide long non-coding RNA is filed under the name Betta splendens (Siamese fighting fish). RNAcentral's name for it is "lncRNA (ENSBSLG00000000942.1)". The record is from RNAcentral. Lineage: Eukaryota; Metazoa; Chordata; Actinopteri; Anabantiformes; Osphronemidae.
GGAGGAACUGCAGUCAUAAGUGAGUUCAGUUCUAAAAUGUUACAAUUUCCAUAAAAAACUUUAAGCCUAAUUGAUAAUUUUUACCUUUGUUGCAGUUUAUCAAUGUUGAUAACUCUUGAUAAUAAGUAAAACUACAAAUUUGUACGUUAUGGUUUCAUUUAACUUUUUAAAUCUGCAAACUACAUCUUUAGAGCAUGUUUUUAACUUGAUGUACCCACAGCCACCAUGACAGACACCAAGCAGCCCAUUAUCCACUGUACUACGCUCAGCAGCAGGAUCAAGGCAGGGAGUCCAGUUACUGGACGGCACCAGGGCCGAGGACUGAAGGGGCUCUAGAAGAAUACGCCGCCUGGACGGACCCAGAGCUGUCGGCCCCCACUUCACCCCGGUUCCCCUUCAUCCUGGACCGUCGCACCCAGCAGCACCAGUACCGCGGCGAGUAUCGCUCUCACGACGCCAGAGACAGCGAGUGGACGGCGGCUCAGCGGGCGGCGAGGGACUACGAGGGGGGGCUUCUGAGGGAGGCGUGGCAGAGGCGCUGGGAGCCCUGCGGUCCGGCCCGGCCCAACAGGGAGGCUUCUGCCAGGAGGAGCGACAGCAGCUACAGAGAGCUGGAGGCCUGGGCCGCGCGCUACUGCCACUCGCUGCCAAGGAGACGGCGUUUGGAGGCAGAGUUACGCGGCGCCGCCCAGGGCCUGCUGGAGGGCAGGACGGGGACAGACCCGCGGGCGGCGGCGCUGCUGCUGCAACUCAGACAGUCUGCAAACGUCAGAGAGUCGGGAUUGUGGGAUGCUGGAGGCCGAAUGCAAACUCCAACUUAUUAUCAGCCACAAGCUACGUCCCAUAAUACAGGCCGCACGUUGGAGGUUAAAGACCCGACAGGCGUCCAAAGGAGGAUGUUCAGUCAUCCUCCGGGCUACGCGGCUCCCCCUCCUUACAGCGACCCACACAAAAGCACGCCUGCAGCGAAGCACCGCGUCACCGGCUGGGAGCAGGAAGGCAGCAGGCAAAGCUGCUGGCCUCAACCCGCACUCAGAGAGGAGGCGCGCGACGAGCUGCAGCGUGAGCGGAAGGGAGAGAGAGAGGAGUGCACGAAGCCAGGUGACGGCACAACCUGUGCAGAGCUGGACGGAACGAAGCGCAGAAGACAGGAAGCGGAAGCCUCGCAGGGAGCGGGUCCGGUUCACGGCCACGCCUUCUCCCUUCCACAGAAACAAACUUCUGAUGCGGUUGGCAACACACAGACAUCCUCUAAGAUCAUUGAAGGCAGAAAAUUCAGGCUGAACAAAAGAACCGGUGGGAUGACCGUGUUCUGCCUGGUGUCCCGGAUAGCCGGCGCCACGGAAACGCCGUCCCUGCCUCUCUGCAUCGCUCAGACCAGCGCUCAGACCAGCGCUCAGACCAGCGCUCAGACCAGCGCUGAGGCUUCCAAGGCUUCACAGGACGGCGAUGACAGUCACCCCGACCUCGCUGAUGAGGUGGACUUCAAAGUGUCAGAGAAGUCAAAUACUGACAUUACAAGCUCCAAACAGAGCGAGUUGCUUCACGAUAAUCCAUCGAACACCCAAGAAGCGAGAGUCGCCCCAGAAAGAGAUUUACCUGAUGCAAAUUCCUCAUUUGGGAAGGAAUCAAAACAGCCGGUGUCGGUCAAAUAUCCUCUAUGGAGAGAACCGGGUUUCACAAGCAGGGCUGACGCAGCGUCUUCAGCUACUUCCUGUUUAAAGGUACAAAGUGAGGGCGGCAGGGCGGAUGGUCCACUCAGCCAGCAGCGCGCUCCUCCAGACGAGCCCCGAGCACAGAGACCGGACCUUAAGGACCCAGAAUCUGAGGGCAGUAAAGCUCUCUGGGUUAUCGACACCAGCUGUGUUGUGGUCAAAAUGGAGCUGAUUCCAUCACCAAAGAAAGAUCACGUUCACUAUGUAGCCAACCAAGCAGAAACGGAUUCCCCCGAAUCAAACAGUCAGGUCACAACCACUGACCGAACCACAGAGAGAACAUCCUCCCAAAUAAAUGACAGGCCUGAGCUACAUUGCGUGUCCACAGCUUCGGUGUGUGAGACCUUGGAGGAGCGCGCUCAAAGGAUUUUAGGACUCCCGCUGUGUGACUGCAUCGCUGAGCAGCAGCCCGGAGAAGACGAGGAGGAUGAGGAGGAUGAGGAGGCCGAGCCUUCGCCGGGACUCCUUCCUGAAGCAGCUGGGUUUAUCCCAGAGGAGACGGCGGGAGAGGAACCGCCACAGAAUCACGUGGAGGUGGGGCCCACGGACGACGCUGAAGAUCGAGGAACAAACGAGAACGACGGGGAAUUUGUAGGAUCUCAGGAUCAGCCGUGUCUAACUACUGAAACAGAGGAAACUCAAAUGACUGAGGGCGUCCAGCUCGACUCUGCUACUGGACCCGAUGACCCUGAGCAGCUUGUUGAAAGCGAUUCCCCCGCUCAGCAUCAUCUCUUCAGUUCUCCUGAAGACCUCUCUGAUUCCCCCCCUCUCUCACACACGUCUGACUCGCCUCAGGACAACUCAGAAUUGGCUGCACUUGUUGAAGCUGGAACCCCAACAUCCCCUCACACAGCGCUGGACCUGGUCCCUCUUCCCCCAGAAUCCAGUCCCUGCACAGAUCAUUCCCCAAGCCUUCCUCCUCCUCCUCUUCACUUAAUAGACGAGUGUCUGGAAGCAGAACCCACAGUUACACAUGAGGAUGAACCGUCACAGCUAGUAGAGAAUAAGUUUAACGGUGCCCUUGAGGACUUUGCAAAAGAUAUGACGUCAGAGCAACCUGGAAAUGACCAGCCAGAAGAAAGCAACGCCACCGGGGAGCAACAAUCAAAGGAUGUAGAGCCUAGACAUGCUUCGGAACAAGCGUAUGACACAUCCAAUGAACACAUUCAAAGUCUUGUGUCUGAAGAGCAAACGCAAAGAGAAAGUCCUACUGUGUUUCUCGAAACGACAACAGACCAGGAUGACAGGCCUGACAGCCAGUCAGAAAGAGAAGGACAGGAUGCUACCUGUGCGAAGGAGAAUAUUGAGGCUGAGGAACAGUCACAAACAGAUGCGGGUGAUGAUCCUGCAGAAUGUUUAGCACAGAAAACCUCCCAGGCCCGCGUGACGGCGCCUCAGACUCAUCCUUCGGGCUCAGACCGUGACGCGCUCCACUCCGCGCCUCCGUCCGCUUCCUGUCAGUCACACAAAGCAGACGCCGAGCCCGUUUCGCUAAUUCCUGGCCCUGCUGUUCCUGAAAGUGUCCCCGCUCCCGAUUUAGACCAGAUUAAUGAAUUUUCAUCCUCCCGUCUCCCCGAUUCACCCUCAAAUCCGCCUUUAGGCUUUGCUCCGCCGUCUCAACAGGAUGAUGAGAGCGCUCCUCUUGACUUGCCUCACAAAGGCGAGCCCCAGCAUCCCACGUCCCUGUGGGAUGCAGUAAAUCGCAUACGGAAACACACGGCACCUGAUUCUGAGAACGAAGAGGAGGAAGUAAGUGAACCGUGGGACCCUGAGAGUUUAGGAGAGCGUUCAGGUUGGUCGGACGACAGGAACGCAAAGAAGAUGGGGUUUGAUGAAGUACAGCAACAGGAAGUAUCAAGUGAAGGAAGCGUUGAGGACGUAGACGUGGGUCAAAUCCAGCAGGACGAAUGCCACGAAGAGCCAAGAGGACACACAGAGGACACGCUGUCCUGCAGCAGCGCCAGCAGCCACACCUCUGAGGACACCGUCAUCGUGGCAGAGGAGGACAAGGCUCAAGAGACAACACCUGAUGGGGGAACAGAAAGCGAGACCGACGUGGAGCUUCAUACGACUGACGCAGCGAGAAGAUGCUGCCGUGACUCAGAAGAAGAGACUGUUGACGAGGAAGACGAAGAGGAGCAGCUAAAAGGUAAAGCAUGA